CGCCGGUGUAGCUCAGUUGGUAGAGCAGUGGACUGAAAAUCCUCGUGUCGGUGGUUCGAUUCCGCCCCUGGCCACCA
Molecule: transfer RNA, 77 nt
Filed under: Gammaproteobacteria bacterium
Lineage: Bacteria; Pseudomonadati; Pseudomonadota; Gammaproteobacteria
Description: tRNA-Phe
Rfam family: tRNA
About the family: Transfer RNA (tRNA) molecules are approximately 80 nucleotides in length. Their secondary structure includes four short double-helical elements and three loops (D, anti-codon, and T loops).
Source: RNAcentral